AUUGAACGCUGGCGGCAUGCUCUACACAUGCAAGUCGAACGGUAACAGGCCGCAAGGUGCUGACGAGUGGCGAACGGGUGAGUAAUGCAUCGGAACGUGCCCAGUCGUGGGGGAUAACUACUCGAAAGAGUAGCUAAUACCGCAUACGAUCUAUGGAUGAAAGCGGGGGACCGUAAGGCCUCGCGCGAUUGGAGCGGCCGAUGUCAGAUUAGGUAGUUGGUGGGGUAAAGGCUCACCAAGCCAACGAUCUGUAGCUGGUCUGAGAGGACGACCAGCCACACUGGGACUGAGACACGGCCCAGACUCCUACGGGAGGCAGCAGUGGGGAAUUUUGGACAAUAGGCGCAAGCCUGAUCCAGCAAUGCCGCGUGCAGGAAGAAGGCCUUCGGGUUGUAAACUGCUUUUGUACGGAACGAAACGGCUCUGGUUAAUACCCGGGGCUAAUGACGGUACCGUAAGAAUAAGCACCGGCUAACUACGUG
Molecule: ribosomal RNA, 482 nt
Filed under: uncultured bacterium
Lineage: Bacteria
Description: partial 16S ribosomal RNA
Rfam family: Bacterial small subunit ribosomal RNA
Source: RNAcentral